GCCAACAUAGCUCAGUCGGUAGAGCAAUUCACUCGUAAUGAAUAGGUCAUCGGUUCGAUUCCGAUUGUUGGCUCCA
RNAcentral lists this transfer RNA (76 nucleotides) under Lentisphaeria bacterium. RNAcentral describes it as "tRNA-Thr". It matches the Rfam family "tRNA". Rfam says of the family: Transfer RNA (tRNA) molecules are approximately 80 nucleotides in length. The record is from RNAcentral. Lineage: Bacteria; Pseudomonadati; Lentisphaerota; Lentisphaeria.